Molecule: ribosomal RNA, 401 nt
Filed under: uncultured bacterium
Lineage: Bacteria
Description: bacterial SSU rRNA
Rfam family: Bacterial small subunit ribosomal RNA
Source: RNAcentral
GGGGAAUCUUGCGCAAUGGGCGAAAGCCUGACGCAGCAACGCCGCGUGCGGGAUGAAGGCCUUCGGGUUGUAAACCGCUUUCAGCAGGGAAGAAAUUGACGGUACCUGCAGAAGAAGCCCCGGCCAACUACGUGCCAGCAGCCGCGGUAACACGUAGGGGGCGAGCGUUGUCCGGAUUUAUUGGGCGUAAAGAGCUCGUAGGCGGUUCGCUAAGUCGGGUGUGAAACCUCCAGGCUCAACCUGGAGACGCCACCUGAUACUGGUGUGACUAGAGUCCGGUAGGGGAGUGUGGAACUCCUGGUGUAGCGGUGAAAUGCGCAGAUAUCAGGAAGAACACCAGCGGCGAAGGCGGCACUCUGGGCCGGUACUGACGCUGAGGAGCGAAAGCGUGGGUAGCAAAC